This 645-nucleotide ribosomal RNA is filed under the name Triticum aestivum (bread wheat). RNAcentral's name for it is "partial small subunit ribosomal RNA". Lineage: Eukaryota; Viridiplantae; Streptophyta; Magnoliopsida; Poales; Poaceae. The record is from RNAcentral.
AUGUACCUAGCGAGCGCAACGAGGCCUGACAUCGCGUUUGCUGUGAGCAAACUGAGCCGGUUUGUUUCCAAACCGGGUGAUGUACAUUGGCAUGCUGUUGAAAGAGUUAUGCGCUAUCUGAAAGGUACUAUGAACUAUGGACUUCACUAUACCGGAGACCCGUCGGUACUUGAAGGGUAUAGUGAUGCGAAUUGGAUCUCUGAUGCUGAUGAGAUGAAGGCCACAACUGGGUAUAUGUUUACUCCUGGAGGUGGCGCUGUUUCCUGGAAGUCUUGCAAGCAAACGAUCUUAACGAGAUCGACAAUGGAAGCAGAAUUAACAGCAUUAGACACUUCUGGUGUUGAAGCAGGAUGGCUUCGAGAUCUUUUGAUGGACUUGCCACUGGUUGAUAAACCGGUUCCGGCUAUCCUUAUGAACUGUGACAAUCAGACUGUCAUCACCAAGGUGAAGAGUUCAAAGGACAACAUGAAGUCCAAUAAACACAUAAGAAUGAGAUUAAAAGUUGUCAGAAAAUUAAGAAACUCCGGAGUGAUAGUGCUGGACUAUGUCCAUACGGCUAAGAAUCUGGCAGAUCCCUUUACGAAAGGGCUAUCACGUGUAGUGAUAGAUAGUGCAUCGAGGGAGAUGGGUAUAAGACCCACAUGA